RNAcentral lists this ribosomal RNA (406 nucleotides) under uncultured bacterium. RNAcentral's name for it is "partial 16S ribosomal RNA". It matches the Rfam family "Bacterial small subunit ribosomal RNA", at positions 28 to 526 of the family's 1533-position model. The record is from RNAcentral.
GACGAACGCUGGCGGCGUGCUUAACACAUGCAAGUCGAACGAGUGGCGAACGGGUGAGUAAUACGUGGGUAACCUGCCCUCUUUUUGGGAUAAGCUUUGGAAACGGGGUCUAAUACCGCAUCAAGGGGGAUUGGCUCGCGGCCUAUCAGCUUGUUGGUGGGGUGAUGGCCUACCAAGGCGGUGACUGGUAGCCGGCCUGAGAGGGUUGCUGGCCAAAUUGGGACUGGAGUACGGCCCAGACUCCUACGGGAGGCAGCAGUGGGGGAUAUUGCACAAUGGGCGAAAGGCUGAUGCAGCGACGCCGCGUGGGGGAUGAAGGGUUUCGGGUUGUAAAGCUUGUUAAUCAGGAAGACGGUACCGAAAUAGAAAACCACGGCUAACUACGUGCCAGCCGCCGCGGUAAUAC